CCGCGGCCAUAUUUGUCGUCGGUUCAAAUGAUUAGCCAAGCAAGGGAAGUUUGCAACCCCCUCAGCCCUCGUUUUUUAUUUUGUUUGCGAGUGUACAAUUAUGUUCACCUCGGGGACUGAAACGCCCCAUAAUUAAAUUCGCAAUGAUUGUUCAUCCGCUAAGAAAAGUCCACCAAAACUUAAAACCUCAACAUCAAUAUGAAAUCAACAUACAAGUGUUUUUAUAUGACCAAUCAUAUCGAGUGGUUCCAAUGACGAGUUUGACGUGAGCCACCCGUCCCUGGUGACUUUCCUCAGCAAAGAUGGCUGACAAAACAUUACGGGGGAAGCAAAUGGACUCCUGAGAAAACCAGCAAACCAAAUAUAUUCAUUGAUCAUGUACUUUUCCUUGGCAAAUAAAUGUGAGGUUCAGGUAUGAAUCUCUGUGAGACA
Oncorhynchus kisutch (coho salmon) is the source of this 432-nucleotide long non-coding RNA. RefSeq lists it as uncharacterized. The record is from RefSeq and is a predicted model, not a curated record. Lineage: Eukaryota; Metazoa; Chordata; Actinopteri; Salmoniformes; Salmonidae. The transcript has 3 exons.